GACGAAGGAUGCAAGCGUUAUCCGGAUUCAUUGGGUUUAAAGGGAGCGUAGGCGGCCUUAUAAGUCAGUGGUGAAAUCUCUCGGCUUAACCGAGAAAUUGCCAUUGAUACUGUAGGGCUUGAGUACAGUUGCCGUUGGCGGAAUAUGACAUGUAGUGGUGAAAUACAUAGAGAUGUCAUAGAACACCGAUUGCGAAGGCAGCUAACGAAACUGUAACUGACGCUGAGGCUCGAAAGUGCGGGGAUCAAACAGG
This 253-nucleotide ribosomal RNA is filed under the name uncultured bacterium. RNAcentral describes it as "partial 16S ribosomal RNA". It matches the Rfam family "Bacterial small subunit ribosomal RNA", at positions 524 to 776 of the family's 1533-position model. The record is from RNAcentral.